UAGGGAAUCUUCGGCAAUGGACGAAAGUCUGACCGAGCAACGCCGCGUGAGUGAAGAAGGUUUUCGGAUCGUAAAACUCUGUUGUUAGAGAAGAACAAGGACGUUAGUAACUGAACGUCCCCUGACGGUAUCUAACCAGAAAGCCACGGCUAACUACGUGCCAGCAGCCGCGGUAAUACGUAGGUGGCAAGCGUUGUCCGGAUUUAUUGGGCGUAAAGCGAGCGCAGGCGGUUUCUUAAGUCUGAUGUGAAAGCCCCCGGCUCAACCGGGGAGGGUCAUUGGAAACUGGGAGACUUGAGUGCAGAAGAGGAGAGUGGAAUUCCAUGUGUAGCGGUGACAUGCGUAGAUAUAUGGAGGAACACCAGUGGCGAAGGCGGCUCUCUGGACAUAGACUAGCGCACAGGUGCGACAGCGUGGGGAGCAAACAUG
This 429-nucleotide ribosomal RNA is filed under the name Chloroflexota bacterium. Its description in RNAcentral is "Chloroflexi bacterium partial 16S ribosomal RNA". It matches the Rfam family "Bacterial small subunit ribosomal RNA", at positions 355 to 776 of the family's 1533-position model. Lineage: Bacteria; Bacillati; Chloroflexota. The record is from RNAcentral.